This 1200-nucleotide long non-coding RNA is filed under the name Marmota monax (woodchuck). Lineage: Eukaryota; Metazoa; Chordata; Mammalia; Rodentia; Sciuridae. The record is from RNAcentral.
CUUGAACUUGUGAUCCUCCUUUCUUGGCCUCUCCAGUAACUGGGGUUAUAGGUGUGUAUCAUUGUGCCAGGCAGUUACUGAUUUUUAUGUCUUGUUUAAGAAAUUUUGGUAAGGAUCACUUGAGCCCACAAGUUUGAGAUCAGCCCAGACAACACAGUAAGACCCCCAUCUCAAAAAAUUAAAAAAAAAAAAAGAAAAAGAUGCAGUUUUGGCUGGGUACAGUGGCACAGGCCUGUAAUCCCAGUGGCUUGGGAGGCUGAGGCAGUAGGAUUGCCAAGUUCAAAGCCAGCCUCAGCAAUUUAAUGAGAUCCUGUCUCAAAACAAAAAAUAAAAAUAAAAACAGACUGGAGCCGUGGCUCAGUGGUUAAACACCCCUCAGUUCAAUCCCCAACACACACACACACACACACACACACAAAUGUAGUUUUAUUAUCUGUGAAUAUUGUCAGUUUUGUUUCUUCCUUUUUAUCCUUGUUCCUUUUCUUUUUCACUCUACUCCAAGAAAUAUGAACAGUGAUAGAAAGUUCCCUUCUUGUCCUUAUUUUAUUUGCAGUACUGGGGAUUGAAUCCAGGUACUCUCUACCACUGUGCUAUGCCCCCGGCCCUUUUUAUUUUUUAUUUUGAGACAGGGUCUCUUUUAGUUGCCCAGGCUGGCCUUGAACUUGCUAUCCUCCUGCCUCAGCCUCCUGAGUCAUUGGGAUUACAAGCAUGUACCAGUGUGCCUGGCUUCUUUUCCUUAAAGAGAAUGCUUCUAAUAUGCUACACCACUAAAUGGGAUUGAAGAUUGCUAUAAUGUUUUUUAACAUUUUUUAUUUGCCUGAUUAGUUAUACAUGACAGUAGAAUGCAUUUUGACACAUCAUACAUAUAUGGAGUAUAACUUCUCAUCUGUCUGGUUGUACACGAUGUAGAGUUACACAGGUCAUGCAUGUAAUCACAUAUGCACAUAGGGUAAUAAUGUCCGAUUCAUUCUACUGUCAUUCCUACCCCCAUGCUCCCUCCCCUCCCUGCUGUAGUGUUGGCAGUGAUCCAAUUUAUAAGGUUAAAGUUCUCUUCCUUGUUUGAAUUUUACUGAAUGCCAUGUUGAUUUAUAAUGAUUCAGGUUUGUUUGUUUGUUUGUUUUGCUUUUGGUACUGGGGAUUGAAUCCAGGGGCACUUAACCACUGAGCCCAGCCCCUACCCCUUCUCCUGAAAUUCCCCCC